AGCCCGCUCGCCGGAAGACCAAGGGUUCCUGUCCAACGUUAAUCGGGGCAGGGUGAGUCGACCCCUAAGGCGAGGCCGAAAGGCGUAGUCGAUGGGAAACAGGUUAAUAUUCCUGUACUUGGUGUUACUGCGAAGGGGGGACGGAGAAGGCUAUGUUGGCCGGGCGACGGUUGUCCCGGUUUAAGCGUGUAGGCUGGUUUUCCAGGCAAAUCCGGAAAAUCAAGGCUGAGGCGUGAUGACGAGGCACUACGGUGCUGAAGCAACAAAUGCCCUGCUUCCAGGAAAAGCCUCUAAGCAUCAGGUAACAUCAAAUCGUACCCCAAACCGACACAGGUGGUCAGGUAGAGAAUACCAAGGCGCUUGAGAGAACUCGGGUGAAGGAACUAGGCAAAAUGGUGCCGUAACUUCGGGAGAAGGCACGCUGAUAUGUAGGUGAAGUCCCUCGCGGAUGGAGCUGAAAUCAGUCGAAGAUACCAGCUGGCUGCAACUGUUUAUUAAAAACACAGCACUGUGCAAACACGAAAGUGGACGUAUACGGUGUGACGCCUGCCCGGUGCCGGAAGGUUAAUUGAUGGGGUUAGCGCAAGCGAAGCUCUUGAUCGAAGCCCCGGUAAACGGCGGCCGUAACUAUAACGGUCCUAAGGUAGCGAAAUUCCUUGUCGGGUAAGUUCCGACCUGCACGAAUGGCGUAAUGAUGGCCAGGCUGUCUCCACCCGAGACUCAGUGAAAUUGAACUCGCUGUGAAGAUGCAGUGUACCCGCGGCAAGACGGAAAGACCCCGUGAACCUUUACUAUAGCUUGACACUGAACAUUGAGCCUUGAUGUGUAGGAUAGGUGGGAGGCUUUGAAGUGUGGACGCCAGUCUGCAUGGAGCCGACCUUGAAAUACCACCCUUUAAUGUUUGAUGUUCUAACGUUGACCCGUAAUCCGGGUUGCGGACAGUGUCUGGUGGGUAGUUUGACUGGGGCGGUCUCCUCCUAAAGAGUAACGGAGGAGCACGAAGGUUGGCUAAUCCUGGUCGGACAUCAGGAGGUUAGUGCAAUGGCAUAAGCCAGCUUGACUGCGAGCGUGACGGCGCGAGCAGGUGCGAAAGCAGGUCAUAGUGAUCCGGUGGUUCUGAAUGGAAGGGCCAUCGCUCAACGGAUAAAAGGUACUCCGGGGAUAACAGGCUGAUACCGCCCAAGAGUUCAUAUCGACGGCGGUGUUUGGCACCUCGAUGUCGGCUCAUCACAUCCUGGGGCUGAAGUAGGUCCCAAGGGUAUGGCUGUUCGCCAUUUAAAGUGGUACGCGAGCUGGGUUUAGAACGUCGUGAGACAGUUCGGUCCCUAUCUGCCGUGGGCGCUGGAGAACUGAGGGGGGCUGCUCCUAGUACGAGAGGACCGGAGUGGACGCAUCACUGGUGUUCGGGUUGUCAUGCCAAUGGCACUGCCCGGUAGCUAAAUGCGGAAGAGAUAAGUGCUGAAAGCAUCUAAGCACGAAACUUGC
RNAcentral lists this ribosomal RNA (1485 nucleotides) under Escherichia coli O26:H11. RNAcentral's name for it is "bacterial LSU rRNA". It matches the Rfam family "Bacterial large subunit ribosomal RNA", at positions 1327 to 2797 of the family's 2925-position model. Lineage: Bacteria; Pseudomonadati; Pseudomonadota; Gammaproteobacteria; Enterobacterales; Enterobacteriaceae. The record is from RNAcentral.